Oryza brachyantha (malo sina) is the source of this 1100-nucleotide long non-coding RNA. RefSeq lists it as uncharacterized. The record is from RefSeq and is a predicted model, not a curated record. NCBI's taxonomy places the organism in Eukaryota, Viridiplantae, Streptophyta, Magnoliopsida, Poales, Poaceae. The transcript has 10 exons.
GGAAGUUCACCUCUGUAUGCCAUUUCUUUGGAUAUCAGGCUCGAGGAUCCGCCCUUCGCUAUCACAGCCGACGCCGUUGCCGUCAACACCUUGCCCCCCAAGUUCCCAUCACGGAUCUCCUCCCCGUUUUCAGCUCUGUAUGCCAUUUCAUCGAAGGAGAUUGCACUAAAUGAGGUACUGCCUGUGACCAUUGCUCGUGAUGCUAUCCAGUACUCCCUGGAGUGGACAUCGUGGAAUCUCUACACCAGAUUCAUUACCACAAUCAGGCUCACUGUCUUGUGUUCUUUCCAAAUUUUGUCUCUAAUGUAAGCGACUCCAAGCUAGACAAUUUCCUAUCCAAUAUGUUGCUGCUGGAGGGAUGAGAGAAGAAAGGUUGACUGGUGUAUGUCUGGCUUCUUAGUUUGUUCAACUCAGAUAUUUAGCAACAGUUUCAUAUUAUUUUUGAUACAACAGAAAAGAGUCCGUUGCUUCAUUGUUCUGGUUGUUCUCGACAUGUUCACCCUGGUUGUCUGACACCACCUUGGACUGGGAUAUUAACUGAUGAUUGGUCAUGCUGCACAUGCAAUAAGUUAGAAGGAGAGGAAAAUGAACAAGAUGCUCAUGUAGCUGAUUUUUCACAGAGAUUUACAGGCAGUAAGGUGAUAAGCUGUUGACAAGAGAAGCAUUUGAUCGAGCUCGGAGCAUUGAUGCUUCAUUGGCCUUGCCAUGGGAAGGAAUGUCGGCUGAAAACCAUCACCUGCCUGGGGAUGGCCCGGUAAAUGAAUCUUUUGAAAGCUGCUUGCAGGCUUUGCAGAUACUACCGAGUUCCAGAUUGGUCUUGGAACAAUUGCCGCUCAUUCGGUGAACGUCUAUCACCUCAGGCUGGUCUUGCAACCGAGGCAGUGUGGGAGUGUGAAGAAUUGAAAAGACAAGGAUUUCUGAGUAUUGACAGAUUGCAGAUAUAUGCUCUUUCACUGUAGAAACUUGAUCGACAUGAUGAAGCUCUUUUAGUAUCAAGAAACUUGGCUGAAAGCUUAUCCAAUAUGAACCAGGAGGAUCCCAAACCUUGUUUUCACGCUUUAUUGAAAAAGCUGGGUUUCGGCCUUUAUCCAAAAAAAAAA